This 394-nucleotide ribosomal RNA is filed under the name Pterocystida sp. RNAcentral's name for it is "partial small subunit ribosomal RNA". It matches the Rfam family "Eukaryotic small subunit ribosomal RNA", at positions 582 to 975 of the family's 1831-position model. Lineage: Eukaryota; Centroplasthelida; Pterocystida. The record is from RNAcentral.
AUUCCAGCUCCAAUAGCGUAUAUUAAAGUUGUUGCAGUUAAAAAGCUCGUAGUCUGACCGUUGUCCUGGCAUUGAGCGUCCGUGGUUACUGAUCAUGUGUACGCGAGGUGCUGGACACUACCUUCGGAGGAGCGUUCGUGCUUUUAACUAAGUGCGUGCGGGAUUCCGAUAGUUUACUUUGAGAAAAAUAGAGUGUUCAAAGCAGGCGUUUGCCUUGAAUACAUUAGCAUGGGAUAAUGAAAUAGGACGUUGGUUCUAUUUUGAUGGUUUACGGACCGACGUAAUGAUUAAUAGGGACAGUUGGGGACAUUUAUAUUCCAUGGCUAGAGGUGAAAUUCUUGGAUUCAUGGAAGAUAAACUACUGCGAAAGCAUUUGUCAAAGAUGUUUUCAUUG